GGUUGGCUCAGAAGCAGCCAUCCUUUAAAGAGUGCGUAACAGCUCACUAGUCGAAUGACUCUGCGCCGAUAAUUUACCGGGGCUAAGCAUACUACCGAAGCUAUGGAUCCCAAGGGAUGGUAGGGGAGCGUUCCAUGAACGGAGAAGUACGACCGAAAGGACGUGUGGAGAUCAUGGAAGAGAGAAUGCCGGUGUGAGUAGCGGAACGUGGGUGAGAAUCCCACGCACCGAAAACCCAAGGUUUCCAGAGGAAGGUUCGUCCGCUCUGGGUAAGUCGGGACCUAAGGCGAGGCCGAAAGGCGUAGUCGAUGGACAACAGGUAGAGAUUCCUGUACCCGUAUAUAUGUGAAGGAAUGACGGAGAGAGGAAGCUGCAGCCAGCGGCUGGAAGAGCUGGUGCAAGCGAGAUAUCGGGAUGGCAGGCAAAUCCACCAUCCGAAACGAGAAGGCGUGAAGCGUACGGAAAGCUACGGCGAGUACGGAAGGCAGUGGAGGAACUUCCAAGAAAAGUUUCUAACGUAAAGUAUAUAUGGCCCGUACCGAAAAUGGACACACAUGGGUGAGGAGAGAAUCCUAAGGUGAGCGAGAGAACUAUAGCUAAGGAACUCUGCAAAAUGACUCCGUAACUUAGGGAGAAGGAGUGCUCAUAGAGAUAUGAGCCGCAGUGAAACGGCCCAAGCGACUGUUUACCAAAAACACAGCUCUCUGCUAAGCCGCAAGGCGAAGUAUAGGGGGUGACGCCUGCCCGGUGCUGGAAGGUUAAGGGGAGGGGUUAACGCAAGUGAAGCCCUGAACUGAAGCCCCAGUAAACGGCGGCCGUAACUAUAACGGUCCUAAGGUAGCGAAAUUCCUUGUCAGGUAAGUUCUGACCCGCACGAAAGGCGUAACGAUUUGGGCGCUGUCUCAGCUGUAGACUCGGUGAAGUCUUAGUACCUGUGAAGAUGCAGGUUACCCGCGACUAGACGGAAAGACCCCAUGGAGCUUCACUGCAGGUUGAUAUUGGGAUUUGAUGCAGCAUGUACAGGAUAGGUAGGAGGCAAAGAGAUGGAUACGCCAGUAUUCAAGGAGCCGCUGUUGGGAUACUACCCCUGUUGUAUUGGAUUUCUAACCGGACGACGUAGAGCCGUUGACGGGACAGUGUCAGUCGGGCAGUUUGACUGGGGCGGUCGCCUCCCAAAGAGUAACGGAGGCGCCCAAAGAUACCCUCAGCUUGGAUGGAAACCAAGCGCAGAGUGCAAAGGCAAAAGGGUGUUUGACUGCGAGACCCACAAGUCGAGCAGGGACGAAAGUCGGGCUUAGUGAUCCGGCGGUGCUGAAUGGAAAGGCCGUCGCUCAACGGAUAAAAGCUACCCUGGGGAUAACAGGCUGAUCUCCCCCAAGAGUUCACAUCGACGGGGAGGUUUGGCACCUCGAUGUCGGCUCAUCGCAUCCUGGAGCUGAAGUCGGUUCCAAGGGUUGGGCUGUUCGCCCAUUAAAGCGGUACGCGAGCUGGGUUCAGAACGUCGUGAGACAGUUCGGUCCCUAUCUGUCGUGGGCGCAGGAAAUUUGAGAAGAGCUGUCCUCAGUACGAGAGGACCGGGAUGGACGCAUCAAUGGUGGACCAGUUGUCACGCCAGUGGCAUAGCUGGGUAGCUAAAUGCGGAAGGGAUAAACGCUGAAGGCAUCUAAGUGUGAAACCCACUUCAAGAUGAGAUUUCCCAUUGCGCAAGCAAGUAAGACCCCUUAAAGACGAUAAGGUAGAUAGGUCAGGAGUGUAAGCAUGGUGACAUGUUAAGCGGACUGAUACUAAUAGGUCGAGGGCUUGACCG
This 1807-nucleotide ribosomal RNA is filed under the name human gut metagenome. RNAcentral's name for it is "bacterial LSU rRNA". It matches the Rfam family "Bacterial large subunit ribosomal RNA", at positions 1099 to 2925 of the family's 2925-position model. The record is from RNAcentral.